AAUGCAGUGUGGAACAUAAUGAACUGAA
Molecule: non-coding RNA, 28 nt
Filed under: Mus musculus (house mouse)
Lineage: Eukaryota; Metazoa; Chordata; Mammalia; Rodentia; Muridae
Source: RNAcentral